GAUGAACGCUGGCGGCGUGCCUAAUACAUGCAAGUCGAGCGAACAGACGAGGAGCUUGCUCCUCUGACGUUAGCGGCGGACGGGUGAGUAACACGUGGAUAACCUACCUAUAAGACUGGGAUAACUUCGGGAAACCGGAGCUAAUACCGGAUAAUAUAUUGAACCGCAUGGUUCAAUAGUGAAAGACGGUUUUGCUGUCACUUAUAGAUGGAUCCGCGCCGCAUUAGCUAGUUGGUAAGGUAACUGCUUACCAAGGCAACGAUGCGUAGCCGACCUGAGAGGGUGAACGGCCACACUGGAACUGAGACACGGUCCAGAGUCCUAGGGGAGGCAGCAGUAGGGAAGCGUCCGAAAUGGGCGGAAGCUUGACGGAGCAACGCCGCGUGAGUGAUGAAGGUCUUCGGAUCGGAAAACGCUGUUAUGAGGGAAGAACAAAUGUGUAAGUAACGAUGCACGUCUUGACGGUACCUAAUCAGAAAGCAACGGCUAACUACGUG
This 497-nucleotide ribosomal RNA is filed under the name uncultured bacterium. RNAcentral describes it as "partial 16S ribosomal RNA". It matches the Rfam family "Bacterial small subunit ribosomal RNA", at positions 28 to 507 of the family's 1533-position model. The record is from RNAcentral.